Ictidomys tridecemlineatus (thirteen-lined ground squirrel) is the source of this 72-nucleotide non-coding RNA. NCBI's taxonomy places the organism in Eukaryota, Metazoa, Chordata, Mammalia, Rodentia, Sciuridae. The record is from Rfam.
UGGGGUACAGCUCAGAGGCAGAGCAUUUGUCUACCAUACACAAGACCCUGGGUUUGAUCCCCAGCACCGCAA